Molecule: ribosomal RNA, 495 nt
Filed under: uncultured bacterium
Lineage: Bacteria
Description: partial 16S ribosomal RNA
Rfam family: Bacterial small subunit ribosomal RNA
Source: RNAcentral
GACGAACGCUGGCGGCGUGCCUAAUACAUGCAAGUAGAACGCUGAAGGAGGAGCUUGCUUCUCUGGUUGAGUUGCGAACGGGUGAGUAACGCGUAGGUAACCUGCCUGGUAGCGGGGGAUAACUAUUGGAAACGAUAGCUAAUACCGCAUAAGAGUAGAUGUUGCAUGACAUUUGCUGAAAAGUUGCAAUUGCAUCACUACCAGAUGGGCCUUCGUUGUAUUAGCUAGUGGGUGUGGUAACGGCUCACCAAGGCGAGGAUACGUAGCCGCCCUGAGAGGGUGAGCGGCCACACUGGGACUGAGACACGGCCCAGACUCCUACGGGAGGCAGCAGUAGGGAAUCUUCGGCAAUGGACGGAAGUCUGACCGCGAAACGCCGAGUGAGUGAAGAAGGUUUUCGGAUCGUAAAGCUCUGUUGUAAGAGAAGAACGAGUGUGAGAGUGGAAAGUUCACACUGUGACGGUAUCUUACCAGAAAGGGACGGCUAACUACGUG